Molecule: ribosomal RNA, 253 nt
Filed under: uncultured bacterium
Lineage: Bacteria
Description: partial 16S ribosomal RNA
Rfam family: Bacterial small subunit ribosomal RNA
Source: RNAcentral
UACGGAGGGGGCUAGCGUUGUUCGGAAUUACUGGGCGUAAAGCGCGCGUAGGCGGACCUGCAAGUCGGGGGUGAAAGCCCGAGGCUCAACCUCGGAACUGCCUUCGAUACUGCGGGUCUCGAGUCCGGGAGAGGUGAGUGGAAUUCCUAGUGUAGAGGUGAAAUUCGUAGAUAUUAGGAAGAACACCAGUGGCGAAGGCGGCUCACUGGCCCGGUACUGACGCUGAGGCGCGAAAGCGUGGGUAGCAAACAGG